GAUGAACGCUAGCGGCAGGCUUAAUACAUGCAAGUCGAGGGGCAGCAUGAUUGUAGCAAUACAAUUGAUGGCGACCGGCAAACGGGUGCGGAACACGUACACAACCUUCCAACAAGUGGGGGAUAGCCCAGAGAAAUUUGGAUUAAUACCCCGUAACAUAGCGAUGUGGCAUCACAUUGCUAUUAUAGAUUUUUCGCUUGUUGAUGGGUGUGCGGCUGAUUAGAUAGUUGGCGGGGUAACGGCCCACCAAGUCUACGAUCAGUAGCUGAUGUGAGGGCAUGAUCAGCCACACGGGCACUGAGACACGGGCCCGACUCCUACGGGAGGCAGCAGUAAGGAAUAUUGGACAAUGGACGCAAGUCUGAUCCAGCCAUGCCGCGUGAAGGAUUAAGGUCCUCUGGAUUGUAAACUUCUUUUAUAAGGGACGAAAAAAGGCUUUUCUAAGUCGUCUGACGGUACCUUAUGAAUAAGCACCGGCUAACUCCGUGCCAGCAGCCGCAGUAA
This 504-nucleotide ribosomal RNA is filed under the name uncultured bacterium. RNAcentral describes it as "partial 16S ribosomal RNA". It matches the Rfam family "Bacterial small subunit ribosomal RNA", at positions 28 to 523 of the family's 1533-position model. The record is from RNAcentral.